AGCUUGUUCUCUGAUAGGUUGAAGUCUUUUCUAGACCAGAAAAAGAAGAAUGAAAGGGAUAUUUCUACCAUCAGAAUAGACAGGGAUAUUGGCAUAGAUGAUGUAGAAUCUAGUGCUCGCCCUCACAAAAUAAAGAGGAAAAAGCUUGAUUCGGAAAAGUCUAUCGAAAUUCUUUUUACGACUGACGUACAGAUGGGUUCAGGUGGUGGAAAAAAGGUUAGAAAACCGAUAUGACUUCAGGAUUUUAUUAGUGGUGUAGAUGCCCAAUCUGUUUGGGGUGACCAUUUUCCUUUCAUGGAAUUAGCUAACAAGGUCACUCAAUAUCUAGAUGAUGUACGGUUUUUUAAGAAUGUAGGAAAAGAGGUUAUGGGACAGUAUAUGCAGGUGAUUGGCACGAGGAUACUUUGUAUGGGUCGGACAAGGAAACUACUGGGGGCCAAAGAGAGAAAAGAGUUAGAGAAGAUACCAAAUUUAGAGAGGUCGUUGAAAGAAAUAUACGUGAUUAUUGUUGAUGUGACAACAAAAAUGAAGAGCAAAGAAGAGGAAGUGCUAAGGUUGCAGGGUCAAAUCUGCGAUUUGCAGAAUCAAAUAUAGGAAGCUGAUAACGAGAAAGGGAAGAUGACGUUGAGGAUCCAUGAGCUUGAAAAUGAAGUGUUGGAGAUGUUCUCGGUUGGAUUUGAUCGUGCUGUAAGUCAAGUUGUUGCCUUAUCCUCCGAUUUUGAGGUCGACAAUCUUGAUGUUACUAAGAUUGUAGUGAAUGGCAAACUCGUAGAUGAUGAGGCCAGGGGGAAGCUGAAGAUGAAAGAAUGAAAGCGUGGCAGCUGUUGAUAAGA
RNA transcript from Arachis duranensis, 833 nucleotides. RefSeq lists it as uncharacterized. The record is from RefSeq and is a predicted model, not a curated record. NCBI's taxonomy places the organism in Eukaryota, Viridiplantae, Streptophyta, Magnoliopsida, Fabales, Fabaceae. The transcript is spliced from 2 exons.